AUUAAAACAUAAAGUUUGCAUUAAAGGUCAAAACAGUCACAAGCCUGCUCAAAUUCGGAAAGAGGGGACGGAAAUGGAACCUCUUCAUGGGAGGAAGAAACAGGGUCUUGCUCUGUUGCCCUGGCUGGAGUGCAAUGGUAUGAUCAUAGCUCACAGUAGCCUUGAACUCCUGGGCCCAAGCCAUCCUCCUACCUCAGCAACCAGAGUAGCUGGGAU
RNAcentral lists this long non-coding RNA (216 nucleotides) under Homo sapiens (human). RNAcentral describes it as "non-protein coding lnc-NEIL3-6:12". Lineage: Eukaryota; Metazoa; Chordata; Mammalia; Primates; Hominidae. The record is from RNAcentral.